AGGACGAACGCUGGCGGCGUGCUUAACACAUGCAAGUCGAACGGUAAGGCCCCUUCGGGGUACACGAGUGGCGAACGGGUGAGUAACACGUGAGCAACCUGCCCUUGACAUUGGAAUAACAGUUGGAAACAGCUGCUAAUACCGGUAUGACCUUUCAUCGCAUGGUGGGGGUGGAAAGCCUUGGCGGUCAAGGAUGGGCUCGCGGCCUAUCAGCUAGUUGGUGAGGUAAUGGCUCACCAAGGCUUCGACGGGUA
This 254-nucleotide ribosomal RNA is filed under the name uncultured bacterium. RNAcentral's name for it is "partial small subunit ribosomal RNA". It matches the Rfam family "Bacterial small subunit ribosomal RNA", at positions 26 to 285 of the family's 1533-position model. The record is from RNAcentral.